This 87-nucleotide transfer RNA is filed under the name Pseudomonas asplenii. Its description in RNAcentral is "tRNA-Leu". It matches the Rfam family "tRNA". From Rfam's summary of the family: Transfer RNA (tRNA) molecules are approximately 80 nucleotides in length. Their secondary structure includes four short double-helical elements and three loops (D, anti-codon, and T loops). Further hydrogen bonds mediate the characteristic L-shaped molecular structure. tRNAs have two regions of fundamental functional importance: the anti-codon, which is responsible for specific mRNA codon recognition, and the 3' end, to which the tRNAs corresponding amino acid is attached (by aminoacyl-tRNA synthetases). tRNAs cope with the degeneracy of the genetic code in two manners: having more than one tRNA (with a specific anti-codon) for a particular amino acid; and 'wobble' base-pairing, i.e. permitting non-standard base-pairing at the 3rd anti-codon position. RNAcentral also lists the same sequence under 10 other names. Lineage: Bacteria; Pseudomonadati; Pseudomonadota; Gammaproteobacteria; Pseudomonadales; Pseudomonadaceae. The record is from RNAcentral.
GCCCGAAUGGCGAAAUUGGUAGACGCAUGGGACUUAAAAUCCCCCGUUCGUAAGGACGUGCCGGUUCGACCCCGGCUUCGGGCACCA